UAGCUCAGUUGAUAGAGCAUGGUGUUUGCAACGCCAGGGUUGUGGGUUCGAUUCCCAC
This is a non-coding RNA of Salmo salar (Atlantic salmon), 58 nucleotides long. NCBI's taxonomy places the organism in Eukaryota, Metazoa, Chordata, Actinopteri, Salmoniformes, Salmonidae. The record is from Rfam.